UUCCUACGGGGGGCAGCAGUGAGGAAUAUUGGUCAAUGGGCGAGAGCCUGAACCAGCCAAGUCGCGUGAAGGAUGACGGUCCUAUGGGUUGUAAACUUCUUUUGUCGGGGAGCAAAGCGAACCACGUGUGGUUCAUUGAGAGUACCCGAAGAAAAAGCAUCGGCUAACUCCGUGCCAGCAGCCGCGGUAAUACGGAGGAUGCGAGCGUUAUCCGGAUUUAUUGGGUUUAAAGGGUGCGCAGGCGGAGGUGCAAGUCAGCGGUCAAAUUGCGGGGCUCAACCCCGUACUGCCGUUGAAACUGCAUC
RNAcentral lists this ribosomal RNA (305 nucleotides) under uncultured bacterium. Its description in RNAcentral is "bacterial SSU rRNA". It matches the Rfam family "Bacterial small subunit ribosomal RNA", at positions 336 to 639 of the family's 1533-position model. The record is from RNAcentral.